GAUGAACGCUGGCGGCGUGCUUAACACAUGCAAGUCGAACGAGAAGUGAAGACGGAAACCUUCGGGCGGAAGGCUUUAUUUCGAGUGGCGGACGGGUGAGUAACGCGUGGGUAACCUGCCUCAUACAGGGGGAUAACAGUUGGAAACGACUGUUAAUACCGCAUAAGACCACAGCACCGCAUGGUGCGGGGGUAAAAACUCCGGUGGUAUGAGAUGGACCCGCGUUCGAUUAGCCAGUUGGCGGGGUAACGGCCCACCAAAGCGACGAUCGAUAGCCGAUCUGAGAGGAUGACCGGCCACAUUGGGACUGAGACACGGCCCAAACUCCUACGGGAGGCAGCAGUGGGGAAUACUGCACAAUGGGGGAAACCCUGAUGCAGCGACGCCGCGUGAGUGAAGAAGUAUUUCGGUAUGUAAAGCUCUAUCAGCAGGGAAGAAAAUGACGGUACCUGAGUAAGAAGCCCCGGCUAACUACGUG
RNAcentral lists this ribosomal RNA (478 nucleotides) under uncultured bacterium. RNAcentral's name for it is "partial 16S ribosomal RNA". It matches the Rfam family "Bacterial small subunit ribosomal RNA", at positions 28 to 507 of the family's 1533-position model. The record is from RNAcentral.